Molecule: small nuclear RNA, 109 nt
Organism: Callithrix jacchus (white-tufted-ear marmoset)
Lineage: Eukaryota; Metazoa; Chordata; Mammalia; Primates; Cebidae
Source: Ensembl
GUGCUCGCUUCGGCAGCACAUAUGCUAAAAAAUUGGAGCGAUACAGAGAAGAUUAGCAUGGCCCCUGUGCAAGGAUGACAUGCAAAUUCAUGAAGCAUUCCAUAAAAAA